CAACGUGGGUGACCUGCCCUCAAGUGGGGAAUAACGCUGCGAAAGCAGUGCUAAUACCGCAUAAGCUUGGCUCGCAAGAGUCAAGUAAAGCUUCGGCGCUUGAGGAGGGACCCGCGGCUGAUUAGCUAGAUGGUGGGGUAACGGCCUACCAUGGCGAUGAUCAGUAGCCGGCCUGAGAGGGCUGACGGCCACACUGGGACUGAGACACGGCCCAG
This 215-nucleotide ribosomal RNA is filed under the name uncultured bacterium. RNAcentral's name for it is "partial 16S ribosomal RNA". It matches the Rfam family "Bacterial small subunit ribosomal RNA", at positions 113 to 334 of the family's 1533-position model. The record is from RNAcentral.